Molecule: ribosomal RNA, 500 nt
Filed under: uncultured bacterium
Lineage: Bacteria
Description: partial 16S ribosomal RNA
Rfam family: Bacterial small subunit ribosomal RNA
Source: RNAcentral
AUGGAACGCUGGCGGAAUGCUUUACACAUGCAAGUCGAACGGCAGCACGGACUUCGGUCUGGUGGCGAGUGGCGAACGGGUGAGUAAUGUAUCGGAACGUGCCCAGUCGUGGGGGAUAACGUAGUGAAAAUUACGCUAAUACCGCAUACGAUCUAUGGAUGAAAGCGGGGGAUCGCAAGACCUCGCGCGAUUGGAGCGGCCGAUAUCAGAUUAGGUAGUUGGUGGGGUAAAGGCCCACCAAGCCAACGAUCUGUGGCUGGUCUGAGAGGACGACCAGCGACACUGGAACUGAGACACGGUCCAGACUCCUACGGGAGGCAGCAGUGGGGAAUUUUGGACAAUGGGCGAAAGCCUGAUCCAGCCAUUACGCGUGCAGGAUGAAGGCCCUCGGGUUGUAAACUGCUUUUGUACAGAACGAAAAGGUUUCUACUAAUACUAGGAGCUCAUGACGGUACUGUAAGAAUAAGCACCGGCUAACUACGUGCCAGCAGCCGCCGCCG